Molecule: long non-coding RNA, 692 nt
Organism: Pseudophryne corroboree (corroboree frog)
Lineage: Eukaryota; Metazoa; Chordata; Amphibia; Anura; Myobatrachidae
Exons: 4
Source: RefSeq, a predicted model, not a curated record
CAGCGCAGCAGAGCCGCUUCAAGAGGGGGCAGAGGGUAAAAAUUACUAACUUCCCCCCCUUCAGCCCACUGCCACUGACUUUAAUCAUUGCAGCCACUGCUGCAAUCUGCAAUGCACAGGAAAUUCCGAGGUUCGAAAAGGGGGCGGGGCUAAACGGCACUGUACACACAGUGCCACCAUGCCAGCCAGCAACAGCAUGAGAGGGUGGAGAGGAGAGGAGCAGUACAGCCUAAACAUAUAUAAAACAGUGACGUUUCUCUACCCUGAUCUAAUAAACGUGUUGUCACCGCCCAUUUGCCUUUCCUUUAUCCGUGGGAUCCUCCUUGGGGUGAUUAUUCUUCUGCCACAGGCUCCUGAAGAAGAAGUCGGGAGAGGUCUCAAAGCCGCAAGCGUCGAUUGAAGAAAGCAGUUGCUGCUGCCUUUGUCACCCCAUCAGGCUCCUCUUCAUGCUAGACUCCAGGCAGACUCUUCUGCAGGACAUUAUUACUCUGGUCACUCUCUCGUGGCAGGAAUUAUAGUUGGACAACAUGCCAGUAACUAUCAACAAAACGAUGAGCAAGAUAAUCGCCAACAUGAAAAAAGAAAAUAAAACCAUCAAAGAGAUCCAUGCAUGGCUCAAGGAAAGUGGCAUUAUAGUCACUUUAGAAACGGUGCGCUAUCAUGCAUUCGAGAGAACAACGCCCAGAUUUGUA